This 289-nucleotide ribosomal RNA is filed under the name uncultured bacterium. Its description in RNAcentral is "partial 16S ribosomal RNA". It matches the Rfam family "Bacterial small subunit ribosomal RNA", at positions 773 to 1060 of the family's 1533-position model. The record is from RNAcentral.
GUGGAUUAGAUACCCGGGUAGUCCACGCCGUAAACUUUGGGUGCUAGGCGUCGCGGGUAUUGACCCCCGCGGUGCCGCAGCUAACGCGUUAAGCACCCCGCCUGGGGAGUACGGUCGCAAGACUAAAACUCAAAGGAAUUGACGGGGGCCCGCACAAGCGGUGGAGCAUGUGGUUCAAUUCGAAGCAACGCGAAGAACCUUACCUGGGCUUGACAUCUGGAGAACCUCCUGGAAACAGGAGGGUGCCUUCGGGAGCUCCAAGACAGGUGCUGCACGGUCGUCGCCAGCU